RNAcentral lists this ribosomal RNA (484 nucleotides) under uncultured bacterium. RNAcentral describes it as "bacterial SSU rRNA". It matches the Rfam family "Bacterial small subunit ribosomal RNA", at positions 29 to 530 of the family's 1533-position model. The record is from RNAcentral.
AAUGAACGUUGGCGGCGUGGAUUAGGCAUGCAAGUCGAGCGCUCAUAGCAAUAUGGGAGCGGCGAACGGCGUAGGAAUUCAUAGGAACGUACCCUCAGGACGGGGAUAGCUACGGGAAACUGUAGGUAAUACCCGAUGAUCUCCGCGGAGCAAAGGUGUGAUUCCGCCUGAGGAGCGGCUUAUGCGAUAUUAGCUAGUUGGUGGGGUAAUGGCCUACCAAGGCGACGAUGUCUAGGGGGUGUGAGAGCAUGGCCCCCACGACCGGAACUGAGAUACUGUCCGGACACCUACGGGUGGCUGCAGUCGAGAAUCUUCCGCAAUGGACGAAAGUCUGACGGAGCGACGCCGCGUGCGGGAUGAAGGCCCUUGGGUUGUAAACCGCUGUCAGAGGGGAUGAAAUGCGGGUGGGUUCUCCCAUCCGUUUGACAUAGCCUCAGAGGAAGCACGGGCUAAGUUCGUGCCAGCAGCCGCGGUAAAGUCUAGC